This is a long non-coding RNA of Phyllostomus discolor (pale spear-nosed bat), 703 nucleotides long. RefSeq lists it as uncharacterized. The record is from RefSeq and is a predicted model, not a curated record. The transcript has 2 exons. NCBI's taxonomy places the organism in Eukaryota, Metazoa, Chordata, Mammalia, Chiroptera, Phyllostomidae.
CGCGUGGCCAAUCCGCUGGGGUUUUGUCAUCACCGCCCCACGCCCCGGGGCUUCAUGGGAUUUGUAGUGCUUUGAGGAGCUUCGGGCGUGCCUGGCGCUGGCUAUUUGGACUGCCCCAGAGGAUAAAAGAUCCCCUGUGGGUGGGGUGACCAGGUGGACUAGGCGUUUUGUCUAAGCUAGGAAGGAAGGCCAGGUUUCAAACUCUGCGUGUCAUGCCGCAGGCCUGCAGACCAGGGCCAAAUACGAUGGGUAUUUUAGAGGAUCUGCUAUGCUGCCCGGGGUGUCCAACCCGCGGUAUAGACUAUGCAGACUGCUCCCCUGCUCUCGCAAGAGGAUGGAUUAAAAAAACGAAACAAAACUGGAAUUGAAAAUAUUAAGGGUGUGCUACAUGCCUGUGCCCUUAAAAAUUGCAAACAUCCUGUGAGGCAGGAAUUAUAACCAUGGGAAUCUAGAGACAAAGAGUUGGAUUUUGUCUUGGUUUAGCUACUUAAUUGCACACAGGCAGGCUGUCUGCACCUCGGUUUUUCUUAUCUGUAAAAUGGGUAUAAAACAAGGUCUUUCAUAGGAUUGUAGGGAAAAUGAAAUGAGACACACUGUGAAAGAACUUUGAAAUUCACAAGGCAUUGUAGAAAUGUUAAUGGUGAUGGUACCUUCUUUAACCCUCCAAGGCAGGCUCUCAAUGGAUGACAAAUUCUGGUGGGGG